AUAAUACUAGUUUUAAUUAAAAAUGAUCUUGUAAAUCAUAGAUAGAAAAAUCUUUAAAACU
This 61-nucleotide transfer RNA is filed under the name Hospesneotomae nitida. Its description in RNAcentral is "Triatoma nitida tRNA-Thr". The record is from RNAcentral. Lineage: Eukaryota; Metazoa; Arthropoda; Insecta; Hemiptera; Reduviidae.